Non-coding RNA from Leopardus geoffroyi (Geoffroy's cat), 85 nucleotides. Lineage: Eukaryota; Metazoa; Chordata; Mammalia; Carnivora; Felidae. The record is from the annotation of a RefSeq genome assembly.
GCCUGGGUGGCUCAGUCGGUUGAGCAUCCGACUUCGGCUCGGGUCAUGAUCUCACAGCUCGUGAGUUCGAGCCUCACCUCGGGCU